AGCAUUCUAUAGAGUUUUGGGGUAGUCUCUGGCCUCGUGACAAAUGUGACCAAGAGCUCCAUCGCCCCCAUCCAAUGUGCCAACAUCAACUUGGAGGAGAUUCUGGCAAACUUCCCGGCGACUACGACCCCCUUCCCCAUUAAGUACCUGGGGUUGCCCCUCUCCCUCGGAAGACUUAGGCAUGUGGACCUUCAACCCUACAUCGACAAGGCGGUGGCUCAUCUUAGCCCAUGGAAAGGAAAGUUCCUGAAUCGUGUCGGGUGCACUGCUCUGGUUAAGUCCAUGCUCUCCUCCAUGCCAAUCUUCUUGCUGGCCGCUUUAAAGGCUGACAAAGGCAUCCUCAAGGCCUUUGCGAAGAUCAGUUGCGGCAUGCUCUAG
Molecule: ribosomal RNA, 378 nt
Filed under: Triticum aestivum (bread wheat)
Lineage: Eukaryota; Viridiplantae; Streptophyta; Magnoliopsida; Poales; Poaceae
Description: partial small subunit ribosomal RNA
Source: RNAcentral